UGGCCAUCACACGUCCAGACUAAACGACGACCAAUUAUGGAUUGGACUGACUCGUCGGCAACAGGGAGCUAUCUAGCUUAGCUCCCUCUCACCCACCCCGCAACCGCGAGGCCGCGACCUCGUCGUCUUCCUCUCCUCUCUCUCCCGUCCGUCCAACUUGGUGGCCUGCCUGCUGCUCUGCUCUUCCGUCCGCGCGUGCUGGGAUCACCAUGGAGGUCUCCGGCCCCGUCGUCGCGCUCACGCCCGGUCAGGUGUCCUUUCUGCUUGGUCUUUUCCCGGUCCUCGUCGCAUGGAUCUACUCCGAGGUGCUGUACUACAAAAAGAAACCUUCGUCAACACACGGGCCCCAUAAUAGAUCUACCAAAGCCAAUUUAAUACGGUUUAUAACAAUGGAUGAGUCUUUUCUGCUUGAGAACCGUGAUGUGUUGAGAGCCAUGGCCGAAUGUGGCAUUAUGCUGGUUUAUUUUUACAUUUGUGACCGGACAGACAUAUUUCCACAGAGCAACAAGAACUACAGCCGCGACCUGUUUCUGUUUCUGUACAUUCUUCUCAUCAUAGCAUCGACACUUACUUCACUUAAGAAGCACCAGGAGGUAUCUUCAUUUACCGGAAAGUCCACGCUCUAUCUUAAUCGCCACCAAACUGAGGAAUGGAGAGGCUGGAUGCAGGUCUUAUUUCUGAUGUACCACUAUUUCGGUGCAUCGGAAAUAUACAAUGCAAUUCGUGUUUUCAUUGCUUGCUAUGUUUGGUUGACUGGGUUUGGGAAUUUCUCAUACUACUAUACCAAGAAAGAUUUUAGCAUUGCAAGAUUUGCUCAGAUGAUGUGGAGGCUAAAUUUCUUUGUUGCCUUAUGUUGCAUUGUCCUUGACAAUGAUUUUAUGUUGUAUUAUAUCUGCCCAAUGCACACCCUAUUUACACUCAUGGUGUAUGGGACACUUGGUCUGUUUAACAAGUAUAAUGAGAUACCAUCAGUUAUGGCUAUCAAAAUUGCUUGCUCCUUCUUGAGUGUCAUUUUGAUAUGGGAAGUUCCUGGGGUAUUCAAUGUUUUGUGGAGCCCCUUUACAUUUUUACUUGGCUAUAAAGACCCAAAUCCUUCCAAGUCACACUUACCAUUGUUGCACGAGUGGCAUUUUCGAUCUGGGCUUGAUCGAUACAUAUGGAUUAUUGGAAUGAUUUAUGCUUAUUUCCACCCUAAUGUGGAAAGAUGGAUGGAGAAGCUGGAAGAAUCUAAGACUAAGGUUGGGCUGUCGAUCAAGGGCACCAUUGUGACUAUUUCUAUCAUAGCGGGCUAUCUAUGGUAUGAAUAUAUCUAUAAGCUAGACAAAAUUACGUACAACAAGUACCAUCCCUACACGUCAUGGAUUCCUAUCACCGUGUAUAUUUGUCUGCGCAAUUGCACCCAACAGUUGAGGGGCGCCUCUCUAGCUCUUUUCACUUGGCUUGGCAAGGUCACGCUUGAGACUUACAUUUCUCAGUUCCACAUCUGGCUCAGGUCUAGUGUACCAAAUGGGCAGCCCAAAUGGCUUCUAUCUUUCAUACCGGAUUACCCAAUGCUUAACUUCAUGCUUACUACAACAAUCUAUAUUUUUCUAUCAUACCGAGUAUUUGAGCUGACAAAAGUACUGAAGGGAGCCUUUAUUCCCAAUAGAGACAACAAUCGCAUGUAUCAAAAUUUUAUUUUUGGGGUUGUCAUUUCUUUAUGUUUGUAUUGUUGCUCACAUAUUCUUCUGAAAAUUCCAGUUGUAUAGGUAAAGUUACAAAUCUGUUGUACAAUAGUUUUCAUAUAUGAGCUCCAUCCCUCCAUAUCUAAGCAUUUUUUUAACCUCCAUGUGAUUCUAGAUGAAUAAUUCCACUUCUCUAAGUUCCGUUUGCAUAGGGAUUGGAGGUAAGUGCACCAGUGGUUUCUGAAACAUACAGUGUCGAUUGCUCCAAACUAUUUUAGCUACAUUUGAUGCAUGUGGCAAGUGGACUAGGC
RNAcentral lists this ribosomal RNA (1975 nucleotides) under Triticum aestivum (bread wheat). RNAcentral's name for it is "partial small subunit ribosomal RNA". The record is from RNAcentral. Lineage: Eukaryota; Viridiplantae; Streptophyta; Magnoliopsida; Poales; Poaceae.